GUAAGGUACCGGACUUCUAAAAUCAUGAGGUUACGGUGUCCAUUUGGUUGGAGAGCCAUUUGAAUGGUUCCGGUAAGGUUGCGGUGUAAUGUAAUAUACCGAAUUUAAAUAUAAAAAAUAGAAAUAAAUAAAAAUAGUAUGAGAUACUAUUUUUAUUGAAUUUAGAGAGGUGAAAUAUAAGUUGGGAAUGANUUAGUAGAUGAAUCGUAGAUCCUUUCGAUGAUUAAGCAAAGAUCUCGAAUUUUGGGUUCGUUAUCUCUUUACGGUAAUUUCGAGAAUUUCGAAUGGAAGUUUCGUACGAGGUUACCUCUCCUUUUUCUACUUCAACUACUUCUAGUUGAAGGUUCGAAUGAAGAGGUGGUUUAGGUAGGUAAAACCCUCUCUAAAUCUCUCUCUUUUACCUUCCGAAGAGAAAGAGGGAGAAAGGUACGCACACACACACACACCGCACAAGCACACACCACACGCCGGCUUCCUCUUCUUCUUCGUGGUCGAAGAAGUAUUAUGGGGAGUUUGUGAUAAGUAGGUCCGUUGAAUUUUAGACUAUUGAAAGCGGCCUCGAGGGACUUAUAGGCAAACUCGAGUUUGAACUGUCAGUACAAGCCAAAAUGAAUUGAAUUGUUCGACUGCUAGUGACCAAGUCAAAGCUGGGACAAACCAGUGACUUUUGACAUAGCUUGACGUUAGAAAUAGUCUAUCGAAAGCCUAAAAUAAAGAGUGAGAUGCCCACAGUCUUUUUAUACUUUGGAAUUUAGCUCGGAGUAUUUUUAUAAAGACUGUAGAGACGGUUAAAAGUAUUAAAAGACUCUGACACGUAAAAGACGAUUAAAUAGACGGGGCAAAGGUUGUCUUUUAAGAUUUAGAAGACAAAAUUAAGGCUAAAGUCGUGUCCAGUAAGGGUUGAAUAUAAAGUGAAAAGAUUUAAGUUAUUUUUAUCAUAGAGUAUGAUAAAAAUAAAUAAAGAUAAAAAUAUAAACUUAGGCCAUAUAAUGUAAUGUGGCGUUGGAAUGGCCUUGGUAAGUUUAUAUGCUUAGAUCCUAAGUUCUAAUGGUGGGUUUUUACCUAUUGCAACAUAGAGCUCCAAAAUGAGGGCUUUAAUGGUAGAUCUCUAAAGAUAGGUCUAAAUGCUUUGGAAAUGGUUUUAGUGGAACCCAUUGAUGCCUAAUAGAUGGUUAAUGUUUGAAUCAUAGAGCAAUUUAAUGAUUUCUUGCAUAGUUGUAAACCUAGGGCUCAAAAUGCUAACUUUCAAAAUAUGAGGGUUUGAUCUCAUUUGACCCUUCGUAAACCUAAUUGCUAGGUAAUGAAACGCGUUGGCGAAGACGGUUCAGCGAUUCGUCGAGCCGGUGCAAAGUUAUUAAAGAAACGGACGUUCAGGCUUCGUUUCCGCCUGGAGGGCCGAGGCGACGUCGUAAAAUCCUGAAAACGGAUUUGAAGCAUCGUACCAAGAAACCGAAGACCUUUAAUUUUCGGAUUGCGGAUCGGAGGUCGUUUGGUGGUCGCGCGCGGAUUGGGUCAAGCCGAGCGGCGUGCGCCGCGGGAGGCCGAUUGCAAGUGACGACAAGCAAUCGGAACGCGAUAAAAGGUGGGGGAGUGCCAUCCCGAAGCAAUCGGGCUUCUUCCUAUGUCUUAGUGCUUAUCCAUUAACAUGUAGCAUAUUGUAUAUCGAUACCUUGCAUUAUAGGAUGACAAUACAUGCAUUCCUAAUCCUUAUAUGAUGUUUAUGAUCAAUAUAGUAUUAUGAUAUGGAUAUAUGAUGUAAUGGACAUAAGGAUUAUGAGAUGACAUUGGUAAACCUAUGAUGCUAAAUGAGAGAAGAACCUAGUGUUGUGUUUAAAGACAUAGUUUACAAGUGGCAUUGAACUUAUUGUGCUAAAAACACAUAUGACUUGAGCUAGUAAUGGAUUGGUUGUUGUACUAGAAACUCUAGUUAACAUUGAUCAAGUUGCAUAUUGGGAUAUUGCAUUAUAGGGUACUAGUUGGCAAUUGUUACAUGUCAUGGCAUGCUAGUGGGAGUGUAGUGUUACUUGAUUAAUACUUGUACCUAGUAUGCAUGAGAUUGGGACUUAGUGCGGUGAAACCCUAUAAGGGCAUGAUUAAUGUGGAUUAAACUUUGUUGAGUGCAUUAAUCGAUUAAGUUGCAUAUUGUAUUUAUUGCAUUUAGAUGCUAAAUGAUUGUGGUCAUUGCUCAUAUUUGCAUGCUAGUAGCUAUACAUCUUGAUGAUUGAUCCAUGAUCUAGUAUGCAUGAUGAUUAUAUGAUGAAAACUUUAUGAUAAAGACCUAGACCCUAUGUGAGGUGAUUAAUGCUUAUGUUGCUAAAGAACUAGUAUGAUGUAACUAGUGUUGAAAUGAGUCUAAAUGUCGAGUGGCAUCUAGUUUAGAAAACUAUGAUGAGUGGCAUAUGAUUGUUGAUAACCUUGACAUGAGAACCUUAGUGUAGUUGAAACACUAUGAGAUUGGGUACAAGAACACCUUGAUUCCAUGAUGAGAUUACCCUUAGAGGGUAGGUUGCUGUUGCUCGUGAGAUGAUCACGCUCACAUUGCCUGUCUGCGCUUGGUGGGGUCGCUCCCCUCAAGUUGUGCGCUCCGGAGUUUGGUCACUAGAGAGGCAGCCCUGCUUGCUGCUCGGAUAGCCGCUUGUUAUCCGCAGGCGUACUCGGGGAUAGUCCAGCUAGGCAUCCCUCGGAGAUUGAUAUGUGAGCCUUGCUUGUGAACCUUGUGUUCACCACGAGAUUUGGUUACCUAUUGAGUCAUACUCAUUAUUGUUGUUCAUGAUAGCUUGCUUCCAUAGUUGUUGUUGUUGUUCAUAGUAGCUUACUAGUGUUCAUAGUAGCUUACUUAUUGCUCAUGCCUUCAUGAUAUACUAUUCCUUCACCUAUGAGAUUUGAGUACCUAUUGAGUCAUAUUCAUUAUUGUUGUUCAUGAUAACUUGCUUCCAUAGUUGUUGUUGUUGUUCACCUAUGAGAUUUGAGUGGAGUAGCCCUGUACCUAGUAGGUCGAGAUGUGAGUCGGGCAAAGUGCGGGGUAGCCUUUNGAAGGUGCUAGAGUUGAAGUUCUUCCCUCCAACAAGCUCCACACAAAGCUCCAAUGCUUCUCCAAUAGUGGAAACCCAACAUGAAGCAAAGAGGAGAGGAAAAGAGAGAUCAAAACAAACUAAAACCAUGAGAAAUGGGAGAAAACCAAGGGAGAAGGCCCUCACCUGAGUUCUCCAUGGAUUAGGGCUCAAAAGGGCCAUCCAAGGGGCUGUGGGGGGUUAAAUAGAGAUGUAACAAUCUCAAAAAGGCUCUCCAACAACGUGCAGUCUGCACUGCACUGCGUACCGGUGACACGGGAAAGAGUACCGGUACCAGGCAACAGCACGCGCAAACCCAAGCCUCGGGUUGGCGAGAAAAUACACUGGGUACCGGUACCAUCGCGAUGCAGUACCGGUACGGGAUCAAUGCAGUACCGAUACUCUGCCCUGCAUAGGCAAACCCGAGAGCAAUCCAAACUCUGCAAUUUGGAGACUUUAGUGCUAAGUUUUAAUCCUCACUUCUCAGGAUGCGAGUCAUAGGUCGGAACACUGUCAACGACUCUCCAGAAUAUCUGAAAAACUCAAAACACAGAUCAAAACUCGAACAUCGCAAUUUGCAAAAGUCCAGUGUGUUACAUUCACCCUAGGAGUUUCGUCCGCAAAACUAAAAAGCAAGUUACCUCAAGACUCUAUCUGAAAAAAAUGGGGAUAGCGCUCCUGCAGUGCGCUUUCCAACUCCCACGUGGCCUCGUGUUAAUCGUGGUUGCUCCAAAGAACCUUCACAUAAGAUAUAUCACGAUUCCGAAGCUUUUUCAUCUCGCGAGCCAAAAUCCUCACCGGUUGCUCUUCAAAGCUUAGUCAUCCUUCAGCUCUAAUGGUAUAGCUGUAAGGUACCGGACUUCUAAAAUCAUGAGGUUACGGUGUCCAUUUGGUUGGAGAGCCAUUUGAAUGGUUCCGGUAAGGUUGCGGUGUAAUGUAAUAUACCGAAUUUAAAUAUAAAAAAUAGAAAUAAAUAAAAAUAGUAUGAGAUACUAUUUUUAUUGAAUUUAGAGAGGUGAAAUAUAAGUUGGGAAUGACCUGUGCUGAAAUCGGAAUUAAAAUAGAAGAUUUAGAAUUUUCUGUUGGAAACGGGACAGAUAAAUUAGCAGAAAAUGCACAGUCUCAGAAAAUUAUGAAAAUUUGCAGAGAUGUCAGAAAUAUUUUUAUGAGGCUAAAUUUAAGGUUUCAUAUUUUUCUGACACCCGUAGAGUGAGAAAUAAAAUCCGAAAGCUA
This 4283-nucleotide long non-coding RNA is filed under the name Ananas comosus (pineapple). RNAcentral describes it as "long non-coding RNA (ACOM_LNC010267)". The record is from RNAcentral. Lineage: Eukaryota; Viridiplantae; Streptophyta; Magnoliopsida; Poales; Bromeliaceae.